UGUCUUCUACACACAUCAAACACUUCCUCUUUAUAUCCUGCGCGCAGUUCGAUCUUCCACAGCUUUGGCUAAAGACUAAUUAAUUAAAGUUCAGAUAAACUUUGCACUAUUUUUUCUUCCUUUAAACUUUUUGAGGAAGUAAAAAAAAGGCAAGGUGGAGAGUGAAGAUGAUUGCUGCAUGUUAAUUUUCCCUAUGGUAAAACUCAGUUAAAUAGAAAUUUGAUCUGGGAAAAGGAAAAGAAUUAAACUUUUGAGUACGUCUUUUUUCUUUUCCUUCAUUUUCUUACCUACAAAAAGGAUAAAUUAAUGUUAUAUAUGAUCGUUUUGCCUACUUCUUUACCUACUAAAUUUGUAACUUUUGGGAUGAUUUGUGAAUAUUUUUUUUGGUAAAUUUAAUAGCUAUGUGUUUGGAUUGAUAUUUAUAUGGGCUGGUAAAUUUAACAAAUUAUUAUAUUUGUUCUAAAACAAGUCAAAUAAUAAGACUUUAAUUUUACUAAACAGUUUUCACUGAUAUAUACUCGAUGAUUUAGUGCGUAACAGAAGAGUGCAGCAGCAGUCUAAACUCUGUCAUUCAGAGGCGCGAUAACAGAACAAGUUUUGCUAGGCAAGGGUCCAGUUCACAAGCUUAUUUCAUGAGGCAGGUUUAUUUCAACAGAAGAGGUGCUUAAAUCUUUUAGACCAUACCUUGCACUUUAUACUUCCUCUAUUAUGUAAAAAGUGGUACAAUAAUAUGAGCUUCUAAAAUAAAACAAAAACACAUUUUUAAUACAUGUAAAUUUAGCAAAUGAGAAUUUCUUUUUGACACGAUUGAUUCAUUGAACACUAGUUUCCCUACGCCUUACUUUACUUUCAAGCUCCUCUGCUCUGCUUUGGUAUUUGAAGUUUGAAAUGGAGAGGAUCUUUGUCCCAACAGAGGAGGGGGAAUGAGUGGAAAAGAUAUAUUCGGCUCCGAGAAGCCUUUUGGUAAAUAAAUUUUAUCUUCUUAAUUACAUCAAACUAAUAAAUUUAGUUCUAAAAUUAGAUAUACAACCAUUUUUUUUCAAAUACUCGUAACAUUACUCAAUCUCUCUAGCUAAAACACAAUCAACGAUAUAUUACGAACUUCAUUUCGCUUUAUGUCUGGCUAAAAAUAAAAAAGUGCAUCUCGGAGGAUGCAUAAACUAAGAACCAUACAGAACAAAAAUAAUGUUGUUACAACUAUAAUAAGUGUUCAAUAUAACUAGGCUAAUUGUGUAUUUGUUCUUCAUAUUCUUAAUGAAUGCAUGUGUCAUACAAUUUAUUAUAUUUUGGUGCAUCUAUUCUGUGUGAGAUAGAGAUAUGGGAACAAAGAAGGAAUUCAAUUUUGAAAGAGAGUGGCAUAGAGUAGGUGAUUCCAAGUAUCAGGAACUCCAGGAAGACACCAAUGGCUACAGU
This 1413-nucleotide long non-coding RNA is filed under the name Panax ginseng (ginseng). RNAcentral describes it as "long non-coding RNA (PGIN_LNC010311)". Lineage: Eukaryota; Viridiplantae; Streptophyta; Magnoliopsida; Apiales; Araliaceae. The record is from RNAcentral.